This 254-nucleotide ribosomal RNA is filed under the name uncultured bacterium. Its description in RNAcentral is "partial 16S ribosomal RNA". It matches the Rfam family "Bacterial small subunit ribosomal RNA", at positions 524 to 776 of the family's 1533-position model. The record is from RNAcentral.
UACGUAGGGUGCAAGCGUUGUCCGGAAUUAUUGGGCGUAAAGAGCUCGUAGGCGGUGUGUCACGUCGUUCGUGAAAACCUGCAGCUUAACUGUGGGCGUGCGGUCGAUACGGGCAUCACUGGAGUUCGGCAGGGGAGACUGGAAUUCCUGGUGUAGCGGUGAAAUGCGCAGAUAUCAGGAGGAACACCGGUGGCGAAGGCGGCCUUCUGGACGGUGACUGACGCUGAGGCGCGAAAGCGUGGGGAGCAAACGGG